Molecule: ribosomal RNA, 281 nt
Filed under: uncultured Glomus
Lineage: Eukaryota; Fungi; Glomeromycota; Glomeromycetes; Glomerales; Glomeraceae
Description: partial 18S small subunit ribosomal RNA
Rfam family: Eukaryotic small subunit ribosomal RNA
Source: RNAcentral
CCAAUAGCGUAUAUUAAAGUUGUUGCAGUUAAAAAGCUCGUAGUUGAAUUUCGGGAUCAAUAUUUCGGUCAUGCCGUUGGUAUGCACUGUUAUCAUUGAUUUCUCACCUUCUAAAGAACCGUAAUGCCAUUAAUUUGGUGUUACGGGGAAUUAGGACUGUUACCUUGAAAAAAUUAGAGUGUUUAAAGCAGGCUCACGCUUGAAUACAUUAGCAUGGAAUAAUGAAAUAGGACGUUCGAUCCUAUUUUGUUGGUUUCUAGGAUUGACGUAAUGAUUAAUAG